This 481-nucleotide ribosomal RNA is filed under the name uncultured bacterium. RNAcentral describes it as "bacterial SSU rRNA". It matches the Rfam family "Bacterial small subunit ribosomal RNA", at positions 1 to 504 of the family's 1533-position model. The record is from RNAcentral.
GACUAGAGUUUGAUCCUGGCUCAGGACGAACGCUGGCGGCGUGCUUAACACAUGCAAGUCGGACGGUCGGCACUGGAAGGUUCGCUGGAAGGUGCCGGUAGUGGCGGACGGGUGAGUAACGCGUGAGGACAUGGCUCCAGGAGGGGGAUAACGUUUGGAAACGGACGCUAAGACCCCAUAUGCCGGAAGGUGAAAAUGGUGCAAGCCAGCCUGGAGAGUGACUCGCGUCCUAUCAGCUAGUUGGUGGGGUGAAGGCCUACCAAGGCGAUGACGGGUAGCCGACCUGAGAGGGUGGCCGGCCACACUGGAACUGAGAUACGGUCCAGACUCCUACGGGAGGCAGCAGUGGGGAAUAUUGGGCAAUGGGCGCAAGCCUGACCCAGCGACGCCGCGUGGGGGAAGAAGUCUUUCGGGAUGUAAACCCUUGUUGUACGGGACGAAACGAAUGACGGUACCGUACGAGGAAGCCCCGGCAAACUAC